CUGAGCAGGCCGCAGUGCAGGAUGGGAAAUGUAGUCACUGGUGUGCUGUGAUAAGACAGAAUCCAGAAGGUAGUUCACGAAUGAAGAGGGAAUGGAAUCCUCUUUAUCUCUGUAGCAGAAGAUGGUGAUGCAGUACCGUAUGCAGCAGUACCAGUGACAGAGCACGUAUGUGUUUGAAGUUAAACACAUAAACCCCUCUACAGGUUGUCCUGCGGCUUCUUGAUGCCCACAUGGCAAAGCAAGGCAAUGAUGCUAGUGAUGUGAUGCUUCCAGAACAACAUUUAUUCAGGCUGCCGAAAGUAAAGAGAGGUCGUGAGCAGGGAGAAGCCAGGUUGUGAGGAUGCACACCUGGCACUGAUUUGGAGAGAGAGAUAAAGCAGUGGCUGGAAGCGACGGUGGGAGAGAGCGAGAGAGACGCACGUGCACUUUGUGUUUCUGUUAUGUUUGAGUUCUGUUUAUGAUUAAAGUUUAUGUUUAUGUUCAGCCGG
This is a long non-coding RNA of Ictalurus furcatus (blue catfish), 488 nucleotides long. RefSeq lists it as uncharacterized. The record is from RefSeq and is a predicted model, not a curated record. The transcript is spliced from 4 exons. Lineage: Eukaryota; Metazoa; Chordata; Actinopteri; Siluriformes; Ictaluridae.